GACGAACGCUGGCGGCGUGCCUAAUACAUGCAAGUAGAACGCUGAAGAGAGGAGCUUGCUCUUCUUGGAUGAGUUGCGAACGGGUGAGUAACGCGUAGGUAACCUGCCUUGUAGCGGGGGAUAACUAUUGGAAACGAUAGCUAAUACCGCAUAACAAUGGAUGACACAUGUCAUUUAUUUGAAAGGGGCAAUUGCUCCACUACAAGAUGGACCUGCGUUGUAUUAGCUAGUAGGUGAGGUAAUGGCUCACCUAGGCGACGAUACGUAGCCGACCUGAGAGGGUGAUCGGCCACACUGGGACUGAGACACGGCCCAGACUCCUACGGGAGGCAGCAGUAGGGAUUCGUCGGCAAUGAGGGCAAACCUGACCGAGCAACGCCGCGUGAGUGAGGAAGGUUUUCGGAUCGUAAAGCUCUGUUGUAAGUCAAGAACGGGUGUGAGAGUGGAAAGUUCACACAGUGACGGUAGCUUGCCAGAAAGGGACGGCUAACUACGUG
Molecule: ribosomal RNA, 497 nt
Filed under: uncultured bacterium
Lineage: Bacteria
Description: partial 16S ribosomal RNA
Rfam family: Bacterial small subunit ribosomal RNA
Source: RNAcentral